This is a long non-coding RNA of Helianthus annuus (common sunflower), 297 nucleotides long. RefSeq lists it as uncharacterized. The record is from RefSeq and is a predicted model, not a curated record. The transcript has 2 exons. NCBI's taxonomy places the organism in Eukaryota, Viridiplantae, Streptophyta, Magnoliopsida, Asterales, Asteraceae.
AACGAAUCAAGUAUAAAGAAAAAGUGUAAUUUGGAUGCAAGGUAUGAUUUGUUUUACCGGAGGAUGAUCAAGCUCAACGAGGAAUCGAACACAAUCAAGAUUCUAGCUUCCGCGUUAUGAUUCGUCGUCACGUUUUUAAGCGGCGAAUGUUUUUUAUAAAAUGUUGACUUGUUUUAUUUCUUAAAAGUUUUUAAGAAAUAUGUAUUUUGUAAAAUAUGUGUAAGCGGAUUUACACAAUUAUAGUUGACAACUAUAUGAAAAUCGUAAUAGUCAACCAAGGGUCUUACAAGUUGGUAA